CAACAUUUGGCAGGACUUCCCCAGUGCUCAGAUUCCUGGGCCCCAGAGGUGGUUUCAAUCUCACAAAGUUCUGUCAAGGGUGAAAAGCAUGAUGCGAGUAACUGCCAGGCCAUGCCCUCUUGGUAUGGUGAUGGAGACGAGUGACAGCUGGCCCAUCCUUGUCAUCGGAGUCUGCGGAGCAUUGGAAGGGACAGUCACAAUGGGGAGCGGCAGGUCACAAUGGGGGAGGCGCCGCCAGGACGCAGCCGGCCGGGCCUGCACUUUCCCAGGAAGGGCAACCCCGGUGCCUGUCCCCGAGAGCCCAGCAGCCCGGCCCUUGGUCGGAGGAGCAAAGCCGGGAGAGCCGCCGAGGGCGACGCGCUGGAAGCUGGCACUCACCGAAGUUGGUGGAGCUGCCACGCCGACCGCCGGAUGGGACACGAUGGAGUCGUCGAUGCAAGUUCUGUGUAAAUGAUGCCAGAGUGAAGCACCAGGAUUCAUUAAACCGGGCAGAGUUUCUCAUUAAACGUGUAGAUUGACAGUCAGAACUAACUGUCAUUUGCAGCUUCCUGAGAGUCCCCCCUACCCAAUAAUAGGUAUAUAUACAUUUGCAAAGCUGAUAUUAUAUUUAGAAUAAAAUAGCGAAAUUGGGACUGUUUGGUGGCUGG
RNAcentral lists this long non-coding RNA (647 nucleotides) under Vulpes vulpes (red fox). RNAcentral describes it as "lncRNA (ENSVVUG00000022371.1)". The record is from RNAcentral. Lineage: Eukaryota; Metazoa; Chordata; Mammalia; Carnivora; Canidae.